GGCGUUCGCGAGGCGCCAGCCUGCCCCACGCAUCCUCCGAGUCUGGCCCGAGCCGGCAGCGCGUCUGAGAAGCAACCCCCAGCUCUGAACCUGUCCGCCUCGGAGGGAACAAGCCCCGGCCCGGGGUGGCCACGGCCGGAGGGACGCCAGCACGGAGCACCAGCGACCCCCCAGGAGCAAGAUGCCUGCAGCCCUGCUGUGCAGACGGGCGCCGGGACCCUCACCCUUCGGCGGAAACCUUCCUAGAAAUACCGGCCAAUCCAGGCUUUCGGCCCUGCUGCUCCAGCCUCUGGCCUGACUUCCCACCUGGCGUCACCAGCGGCUGUGGCUCAGCCUCUCCUCAGCUCCCCAGGGCGGGGCGGGGGCGUGUCCAGAGUCGAGGCCCUCUGCUCGCCGCCGCCUCUCCCCGCACGGGCCACGCGGCCGACGCCGCUUCACCCAGAGCUGGGCGAAGUCUUCCUGGCGUCCCGGAAGGCGCAGCAUUUCCCUGUGCCUCCGUUUCCUCACUACGAAGUGGAAACAAGAAGGUUGGCUGCCGUGCGGGCGGCGCUUGCAACGAAAGAACAGCGGUUUACUUCAGAGUUAACAGGGUAAAGCUGGCAUUCCCACCUCCACUCUCGAAUGGGACUCUGUGUCACAGUAUCUGUUAGAGGCCUUUAAAGUCGGCCGCAAGGUCGGCCGUUAUUGUUGGUUGAAAGCCACAGCCCUACCUGAGGCUUUGAGAGACAUGAACCCCAAUGAGUUUUCUUUUCCUGACUCGCCAGAUACCAAGAAAAAAGCAACUUCCCCAAAGGCGUAAAAACAGAAAGUACCCUUGGGUGAACACGGAGGACUGGUUCCAGCCUAUAGUUAGAGACGGGAGGCGCUCAGAACCGUCUAGUACUAUUACUCCUUGUCUGCCACCCGGACCCCCGCACCCACAGUUUUACAGAUAAGGAACCAGAGCCACAAAGCCUGUGAGAAGGCCUGCCCACAGUCAUGUAACUUGAGAAGGGUGGGCAAGGACUCUGGUCUCCCCAUUCCUUAACUUUCCACCACAAAAAGGAGAAAGAGGGCAGAUGAAGACAGCCCAGAAGUGGCCAGGGAGGGAGGAAGGGGUAGAACCGCCCUGGAACUGAGUAGCAGGAAUGACAGAGUGUGUGCCGGAGUGGCGUGGUGGAUUCUAAGAGCACUUUGAAAGCUAAAGAACGUGCUGGAGACGUUAUGGCAUCCUUGACUUCUAACAUGCCCUUGGUGUUCCUAAAACUGAAGACGGAGGAAAGCUGAAACAGAGUUGCCCAUUAAGAAUUCACUACCAGGAAGCUGGGCACCCCGUGAAGCCCACUCGGCCCCAUCUCGCAUCCUCUCAGAGGUGGGCAUUCUCUUUCUCCACCAGCAGGUGUGACCCAGAUGUUGAGCUUUCGUGGUAUCCCCCCACCCUCCCACUCAGCUCCAUCUGUGUCUCCCUGUCCCAAGAGGGCAGGUCACUAACCAACAGAUCUGAUCAGCACCUGACCCCUGUUGGCCAGAGCUUAGAACUACAGCUUCCCAGGCGCAUUCUUCCCCCUUUUCUACUUCCAACCUCCCCAAAGCAGCUGGUAGGAAUCAAGAUGCCUGUCACUCUUGUGGCACCUGAUUAUGUACCACUUUAUAUAGCUCUGUUGUUGCUUCGAUUAAAAAUAUAUGUUUGUAUCCUC
Camelus dromedarius (Arabian camel) is the source of this 1676-nucleotide long non-coding RNA. RefSeq lists it as uncharacterized. The record is from RefSeq and is a predicted model, not a curated record. NCBI's taxonomy places the organism in Eukaryota, Metazoa, Chordata, Mammalia, Artiodactyla, Camelidae. The transcript has 2 exons.